UACGGGGGGGGCAAGCGUUGUUCGGAAUUACUGGGCGUAAAGGGCUCGUAGGCGGCCAACUAAGUCAGACGUGAAAUCCCUCGGCUUAACCGGGGAACUGCGUCUGAUACUGGAUGGCUCGAGUUUGGGAGAGAGAUGCGGAAUUCCAGGUGUAGCGGUGAAAUGCGUAGAUAUCUGGAGGAACACCGGUGGCGAAGGCGGCAUCCUGGACCAACACUGACGCUGAUGAGCGAAAGCCAGGGGAGCAAACGGG
This 253-nucleotide ribosomal RNA is filed under the name uncultured bacterium. Its description in RNAcentral is "partial 16S ribosomal RNA". It matches the Rfam family "Bacterial small subunit ribosomal RNA", at positions 524 to 776 of the family's 1533-position model. The record is from RNAcentral.